GUGCCAGCCGCCGCGGUAAUACGUAGGGGGCAAGCGUUGUUCGGAAUUACUGGGCGUAAAGGGCGCGUAGGCGGCACGGCAAGUCAGGAGUGAAAGCCCGGGGCUCAACCCCGGAACGUCUUUUGAAACUGCCGAGCUAGAGUGCGGAAGAGGCAACUGGAAUUCCCAGUGUAGCGGUGAAAUGCGUAGAUAUUGGGAAGAACACCUGAGGCGAAGGCGGGUUGCUGGGCCGACACUGACGCUGAGGCGCGAAAGCCAGGGGAGCGAACGGGAUUAGAUACCCGUGUAGUCC
RNAcentral lists this ribosomal RNA (292 nucleotides) under uncultured bacterium. RNAcentral's name for it is "partial 16S ribosomal RNA". It matches the Rfam family "Bacterial small subunit ribosomal RNA", at positions 505 to 796 of the family's 1533-position model. The record is from RNAcentral.